GCGGCGGCCGCCCCCCUUGGGCCGGCGGAGCCGGGGGCGCCGUGCC
This 46-nucleotide ribosomal RNA is filed under the name Alexandrium margalefii. Its description in RNAcentral is "partial Eukaryotic small subunit ribosomal RNA". Lineage: Eukaryota; Dinophyceae; Gonyaulacales; Pyrocystaceae. The record is from RNAcentral.